GGAUUGCCCUAGUAACGGCGAGUGAAGCGGCAACAGCUCAAAUUUGAAAUCUGGCUCUUUCAGGGUCCGAGUUGUAAUUUGUAGAGGGUGCUUUGCCGUUGACUGUGGUCUAAGUUCCUUGGAACAGGACGUCGCACAGGGUGAGAAUCCCGUAUGUGGCCGCCAGUCUUCGCCGUGUAAAGCCCCUUCGACGAGUCGAGUUGUUUGGGAAUGCAGCUCUAAAUGGGAGGUAAAUUUCUUCUAAAGCUAAAUAUUGGCCAGAGACCGAUAGCGCACAAGUAGAGUGAUCGAAAGAUGAAAAGCACUUUGGAAAGAGAGUCAAAAAGCACGUGAAAUUGUUGAAAGGGAAGCGCUUGCAGCCAGACUUGCCUGUAGUUGCUCAUCCGGGCUUUUGCCCGGUGCACUGUUCUAUGGGCAGGCCAGCAUCAGUCCUGGCGGUUGGAUAAAUGUCUGCACAA
This 458-nucleotide ribosomal RNA is filed under the name Preussia intermedia. Its description in RNAcentral is "eukaryotic LSU rRNA". It matches the Rfam family "Eukaryotic large subunit ribosomal RNA", at positions 72 to 534 of the family's 3401-position model. Lineage: Eukaryota; Fungi; Ascomycota; Dothideomycetes; Pleosporales; Sporormiaceae. The record is from RNAcentral.